Molecule: ribosomal RNA, 440 nt
Filed under: uncultured bacterium
Lineage: Bacteria
Description: partial 16S ribosomal RNA
Rfam family: Bacterial small subunit ribosomal RNA
Source: RNAcentral
CCUACGGGUGGCAGCAGUGGGGAAUAUUGCACAAUGGGGGAAACCCUGAUGCAGCGACGCCGCGUGAGUGAAGAAGUAUUUCGGUACGUAAAGCUCUAUCUGCAGGGAAGAAAAUGACGGUACCUGACUAAGAAGCCCCGGCUAACUACGUGCCAGCAUCCGCGGUAAUACGUCGGGGGCAAGCGUGAUCCGGAUUUACUGGGUGUAAAGGGAGAGUAGACGGUAGCGCAAGUCUGGAGUGAAAUCCCAUGGCUUAACCAUGGAACUGCCUUGGAAACUGUGCAGCGAGAGAGCAGGAGAGGUAAGCGGAAUUCCUAGUGUAGCGGUGAAAUGCGUAGAUAUGAGGAGGAACACCAGUGGCGAAGGCGGCUUACUGGACUGUAACUGACGUUGAGGCUCGAAAGCGUGGGGAGCAAACAGGAUUAGAUACCCUGGUAGUC